GAUGAACGCUGGCGGCGUGCCUAAUACAUGCAAGUCGAGCGAACGGACGAGAAGCCUGCUUCUCUGAUGUUAGCGGCGGACGGGUGAGUAACACGUGGAUAACCUACCUAUAAGACUGGGAUAACUGCGGGAAACCGGAGCUAAUAGCGGAUAAGAUUUUGAACCGCAAGGGUCAAAAGUGAAAGAGGGUGGUGCGGGCCCUUAUAGAUGGAUCCGCGCUGCAUUAGCUAGUUGGUAAGGUAACGGCUUACCAAGGCAACGAUGCCUAGGCGAGCUGAGAGGGUGAUCGGCCACACUGGAACUGAGACACGGUCCAGACUCCUACGGUAGGCCGCCGUAGGGAAUCUUCCGCAAUGGGCGAAAGCCUGACGGAGCAACGCCGCGUGAGUGCUGAAGGUCUUCGGCUCGUAAAACUCUGUUAUUAGGGAAGAACAUAUGUGUAAGUACCUGUGCACAUCUUGACGGUACCUAAUCAGAACGCCCCGGCUACCUACGUG
Molecule: ribosomal RNA, 497 nt
Filed under: uncultured bacterium
Lineage: Bacteria
Description: partial 16S ribosomal RNA
Rfam family: Bacterial small subunit ribosomal RNA
Source: RNAcentral